ACUGAUCAAAAUUAAUUCAAUUAAGUCAUUAAAUAAAAAAAAAAACCAUAGCUAAGGAUGAUGUAGUAUUAAUGAUUAUUUUACAUCUUUGGUUUUUAAGCUAUAUAUACAUAUUUAUUGAGACAAAAAAUAAACCACUUUUUUUUGUUUUAUCUAAUUUUUUUCUCUCUCACAAGACACAAAUACAAUCAAUAUUUGCAGUUUAUUUCAACUUCUAUCUAUCGAACUAAAAUCAUAGUUCCGCCGCGAAUUAACGCAGCUUAAAUCUAAUAAAACAAUAGCUAAGGAUGAUUUAGUAUUAAUGAAAAGAAAACAAAUCUAAGCAUCAAAUCUUAAAUAACAAAAGCGAGUCCUAAGCAAACAAACAAAUCCAACUUGGUGAUCCGUGGAUCGCGUUAGAUAUUUAGAUGAAUAUACAUAAAAAUUGAACCAUUAACAAUGCUCAAGGCUUCAAAUUUUCAGACGUACAAACGACAAUUAACAGGAAAAUGCUGAUCGCAAAUCGAAGCAACUAGGAAAAUCUUUUGUCUUGUCAUGAUCUUUUUGCCCCUUAUCUCUUAUUUAUUAUAUUUAUAUAUUGUUGAUCAGACAAUCACUUUGCCUUAUCCACAUUCAUUGUCAUCAUUCGACUAGAUAAAAUCAUUCUGAUGACUCUUAUCACGUCUGUUAAUUCAAAAUUUGAAGCUCUAUAGUAAAUGGAACUUGCUUUCCAUUGCGUCUUGUAAAUUUAAUGAUGUAAUUUUUAUUCUUGUAAGACAAAUUUUGAAGCCAAAUUGAAACGUCAUUUAGUUUCAAUAGCAUCUAAUGUAAAACCAUGAAGAAAAAGAGAAAGCCAUGCAUAGUAUUGUAGUGUGUGUGUUACACGAAUUGAGGCUUUGACACUGUGUGAAUUAUUAAACAAAGCAAAAGAUAUCAUCACGCAAAAGAAGAUCUUAUUUCUCUUCAUAGAUGUGAAUAAUUAAUCGAUUUGGUAAAAAGGAAACAAAUGAAAUGAUCUGGAUCAAUAAUUUCGCCGUAUAAUCCCAACAACUUGAUCCAUAUGAAAAGGAAUGUGAAAGAUUUUAUAUCAUUAACAACUGUCAUUAAGUGAACACGUAUCAUCAAGAUUGUCAUCAAUUCAAUUAAUUAACCCUACAUAGAAGAUAAUUCAUUAUGUGAAUAACAAAGCACAAUAUAUAUAAUCAUAUCAUUUGCCAUUAAUAAAAAAAAAAAUUCCCUCUCUUUCUUUCACGCCUCACAUAACUUUAUUAUUUUAAGUCCAUCCCUUACUAUCGAAUAUGAUUGGUUUCUACUUUCUAUUU
This 1301-nucleotide long non-coding RNA is filed under the name Citrus x clementina. Its description in RNAcentral is "Citrus clementina (C. clementina) long non-coding RNA (CCLE_LNC001036)". Lineage: Eukaryota; Viridiplantae; Streptophyta; Magnoliopsida; Sapindales; Rutaceae. The record is from RNAcentral.